Molecule: long non-coding RNA, 679 nt
Organism: Nicotiana attenuata
Lineage: Eukaryota; Viridiplantae; Streptophyta; Magnoliopsida; Solanales; Solanaceae
Exons: 4
Source: RefSeq, a predicted model, not a curated record
GCAUAGGCGGCAAAAUUUUCCUCGUUUCCCUCUUUUGGCCUAACCCCUCCUUUUGUUCCAAACUUCCCAAGUUUCAUCAAAUGCUUCAGAGCUGCUGAGUAGGAACGGAACGAUGCUCGGCCUUCCCUCAAUCAACGUUAGGGUUUGAAAUGUUAAGUAGGCUGCGACAUAAACUGCUUGGAGGGUAUCGCAGAAACGAUAGAGCUUCGCGACGUAGAUCCCUUUGACGCCAUUUUCACGAUAGUCAUGUUUCUCUUUUCCUUCAACUUCCAACAAAUGUGUUUUCUUGUUCAACACUUUGGGGUCAACUGCCACCUAAUUUUUUCCAACUCUCGAGUAAAUCAGAUGCAGAUUCAACUGGAAUCAAGGAAGGUUGCGCAAAAGCUAGAAAAAAGUCUCGAGAAAUAAAGAAGUUUUUGGGAGAAAGAUGAGUUUAGAGAUCCUAGUUGAAAAUUGACGUCAGUCUAGGCAAUUCCAUCAACAAAGCAAACAAGUGGAAGGAACUCACAAAAGCGAAAAAAGUUGCAACAUUGAUGAGAUUUCAUAUUACUUUUGACUGUUGAAUUAUCUUUUUAUUUUUGUGAGAAUUGUAAUGGUCACUAAUCAUGACGAUUUAUAUAUACAUUUUUGUUUUAUCGGUAAAAUUAAUAUUUUAGUGACGAGAUGAUAGUUUUUACUA